RNAcentral lists this microRNA precursor (91 nucleotides) under Macaca nemestrina (pig-tailed macaque). Its description in RNAcentral is "miRNA (ENSMNEG00000001926.1)". Lineage: Eukaryota; Metazoa; Chordata; Mammalia; Primates; Cercopithecidae. The record is from RNAcentral.
GAGGUAGGAGGAUGACUUGAGCUCAGGAGGUCGAGGCUGCAGUGAGUUAUGAUCAUACCACUGCACUCCAGCCUGAGGGACAGAGCAAGAC